GAACGGUGAAGCCAAGCUUGCUUGGUGGAUCAGUGGCGAACGGGUGAGUAACACGUGAGCAACCUGCCCUGAACUCUGGGAUAAGCGCUGGAAACGGCGUCUAAUACUGGAUAUGAGCUGCGGAGGCAUCUUCGUGGUUGGAAAGAUUUUUCGGUUUGGGAUGGGCUCGCGGCCUAUCAGCUUGUUGGUGAGGUAAUGGCUCACCAAGGCGUCGACGGGUAGCCGGCCUGAGAGGGUGACCGGCCACACUGGGACUGAGACACGGCCCAGACUCCUACGGGAGGCAGCAGUGGGGAAUAUUGCACAAUGGGCGGAAGCCUGAUGCAGCAACGCCGCGUGAGGGAUGACGGCCUUCGGGUUGUAAACCUCUUUUAGCAGGGAAGAAGCGUGAGUGACGGUACCUGCAGAAAAAGCGCCGGCUAACUACGUGCCAGCAGCCGCGGUAAUACGUAGGGCGCAAGCGUUAUCCGGAAUUAUUGGGCGUAAAGAGCUCGUAGGCGGUUUGUCGCGUCUGCUGUGAAAACCCGAGGCUCAACCUCGGGCCUGCAGUGGGUACGGGCAGACUAGAGUGCGGUAGGGGAGAUUGGAAUUCCUGGUGUAGCGGUGGAAUGCGCAGAUAUCAGGAGGAACACCGAUGGCGAAGGCAGAUCUCUGGGCCGUAACUGACGCUGAGGAGCGAAAGGGUGGGGAGCAAACAGGCUUAGAUACCCUGGUAGUCCACCCCGUAAACGUUGGGAACUAGUUGUGGGGUCCAUUCCACGGAUUCCGUGACGCAGCUAACGCAUUAAGUUCCCCGCCUGGAGAGUACGGCCGCAAGGCUAAAACUCAAAGGAAUUGACGGGGACCCGCACAAGCGGCGGAGCAUGCGGAUUAAUUCGAUGCAACGCGAAGAACCUUACCAAGGCUUGACAUACACGAGAACGCUGCAGAAAUGUAGAACUCUUUGGACACUCGUGAACAGGUGGUGCAUGGUUGUCGUCAGCUCGUGUCGUGAGAUGUUGGGUUAAGUCCCGCAACGAGCGCAACCCUCGUUCUAUGUUGCCAGCACGUAAUGGUGGGAACUCAUGGGAUACUGCCGGGGUCAACUCGGAGGAAGGUGGGGAUGACGUCAAAUCAUCAUGCCCCUUAUGUCUUGGGCUUCACGCAUGCUACAAUGGCCGGUACAAAGGGCUGCAAUACCGCGAGGUGGAGCGAAUCCCAAAAAGCCGGUCCCAGUUCGGAUUGAGGUCUGCAACUCGACCUCAUGAAGUCGGAGUCGCUAGUAAUCGCAGAUCAGCAACGCUGCGGUGAAUACGUUCCCGGGUCUUGUACACACCGCCCGUCAAGUCAUGAAAGUCGGUAACACCUGAAGCCGGUGGCCCAACCCUUGUGGAGGGAGCCGUCGAAGGUGGGAUCGGUAAUUAGGACUA
RNAcentral lists this ribosomal RNA (1409 nucleotides) under Microbacterium aurantiacum. RNAcentral's name for it is "partial 16S ribosomal RNA". It matches the Rfam family "Bacterial small subunit ribosomal RNA". The record is from RNAcentral. Lineage: Bacteria; Bacillati; Actinomycetota; Actinomycetes; Micrococcales; Microbacteriaceae.